UUGGCUUAGAAGCAGCCAUCAUUUAAAGAAAGCGUAAUAGCUCACUGGUCGAGUCGGCCUGCGCGGAAGAUGUAACGGGGCUAAACCAUGCACCGAAGCUGCGGCAGCGACGCUGAUGCGUUGUUGGGUAGGGGAGCGUUCUGUAAGCCUGCGAAGGUGGCCUGUGAGGGUUGCUGGAGGUAUCAGAAGUGCGAAUGCUGACAUAAGUAACGAUAAAGCGGGUGAAAAGCCCGCUCGCCGGAAGACCAAGGGUUCCUGUCCAACGUUAAUCGGGGCAGGGUGAGUCGACCCCUAAGGCGAGGCCGAAAGGCGUAGUCGAUGGGAAACGGGUUAAUAUUCCCGUACUUGGUGUUACUGCGAAGGGGGGACGGAGAAGGCUAUGUUGGCCGGGCGACGGUUGUCCCGGUUUAAGCGUGUAGGUGUGUGUUCCAGGUAAAUCCGGUUCACUUUAACACUGAGGCGUGAUGACGAGGCACUACGGUGCUGAAGCAACAAAUGCCCUGCUUCCAGGAAAAGCCUCUAAGCAUCAGGUAACAUCAAAUCGUACCCCAAACCGACACAGGUGGUCAGGUAGAGAAUACCAAGGCGCUUGAGAGAACUCGGGUGAAGGAACUAGGCAAAAUGGUGCCGUAACUUCGGGAGAAGGCACGCUGACACGUAGGUGAAGUGAUUUACUCAUGGAGCUGAAGUCAGUCGAAGAUACCAGCUGGCUGCAACUGUUUAUUAAAAACACAGCACUGUGCAAACACGAAAGUGGACGUAUACGGUGUGACGCCUGCCCGGUGCCGGAAGGUUAAUUGAUGGGGUCAGCGCAAGCGAAGCUCCUGAUCGAAGCCCCGGUAAACGGCGGCCGUAACUAUAACGGUCCUAAGGUAGCGAAAUUCCUUGUCGGGUAAGUUCCGACCUGCACGAAUGGCGUAAUGAUGGCCAGGCUGUCUCCACCCGAGACUCAGUGAAAUUGAACUCGCUGUGAAGAUGCAGUGUACCCGCGGCAAGACGGAAAGACCCCGUGAACCUUUACUAUAGCUUGACACUGAACAUUGAGCCUUGAUGUGUAGGAUAGGUGGGAGGCUUUGAAGUGUGGACGCCAGUCUGCAUGGAGCCGGCCUUGAAAUACCACCCUUUAAUGUUUGAUGUUCUAACGUGGACCCGUGAUCCGGGUUGCGGACAGUGUCUGGUGGGUAGUUUGACUGGGGCGGUCUCCUCCUAAAGAGUAACGGAGGAGCACGAAGGUUGGCUAAUCCUGGUCGGACAUCAGGAGGUUAGUGCAAUGGCAUAAGCCAGCUUGACUGCGAGCGUGACGGCGCGAGCAGGUGCGAAAGCAGGUCAUAGUGAUCCGGUGGUUCUGAAUGGAAGGGCCAUCGCUCAACGGAUAAAAGGUACUCCGGGGAUAACAGGCUGAUACCGCCCAAGAGUUCAUAUCGACGGCGGUGUUUGGCACCUCGAUGUCGGCUCAUCACAUCCUGGGGCUGAAGUAGGUCCCAAGGGUAUGGCUGUUCGCCAUUUAAAGUGGUACGCGAGCUGGGUUUAGAACGUCGUGAGACAGUUCGGUCCCUAUCUGCCGUGGGCGCUGGAGAACUGAGGGGGGCUGCUCCUAGUACGAGAGGACCGGAGUGGACGCAUCACUGGUGUUCGGGUUGUCAUGCCAAUGGCACUGCCCGGUAGCUAAAUGCGGAAGAGAUAAGUGCUGAAAGCAUCUAAGCACGAAACUUGCCCCGAGAUGAGUUCUCCCUGAGACUUAGAGUCUCCUGAAGGAACGUUGAAGACGACGACGUUGAUAGGCCGGGUGUGUAAGCGCAGCGAUGCGUUGAGCUAACCGGUACUAAUGAACCGUGAGGCUUAACCUUACA
This 1850-nucleotide ribosomal RNA is filed under the name Salmonella enterica subsp. enterica serovar Give. RNAcentral describes it as "partial 23S ribosomal RNA". It matches the Rfam family "Bacterial large subunit ribosomal RNA", at positions 1101 to 2925 of the family's 2925-position model. Lineage: Bacteria; Pseudomonadati; Pseudomonadota; Gammaproteobacteria; Enterobacterales; Enterobacteriaceae. The record is from RNAcentral.